GUUUUAUUUGGGAAAACAGAAAUUACUUUUGAAGAGAAAAGUUCAGAAAUAUCUAGUUUUGAAGAACUUGAAAACAUAUUAAUAUCUGUCAAUAGAAUGGGAGUCUGUUCUGAAAUUAAGCUAUGGUUUGCAGAUUGAAGCGAUUUAAAUGGAAGACCA
Long non-coding RNA from Sitophilus oryzae (rice weevil), 159 nucleotides. RefSeq lists it as uncharacterized. The transcript is spliced from 2 exons. NCBI's taxonomy places the organism in Eukaryota, Metazoa, Arthropoda, Insecta, Coleoptera, Curculionidae. The record is from RefSeq and is a predicted model, not a curated record.